This 4453-nucleotide long non-coding RNA is filed under the name Homo sapiens (human). Its description in RNAcentral is "non-protein coding lnc-TPPP-2:4". The record is from RNAcentral. Lineage: Eukaryota; Metazoa; Chordata; Mammalia; Primates; Hominidae.
GUGGGCGGAACCAAGAGCCUGGCGGGGGGUUCUCCUGAAUGGCGGUUCUCCCAGGUACUGGCCACGCGACCCCAGCCCCCGCCCCAGAUAGCUCCCUGUCAAGGCUUCCCUGGGCGCGGCCGCCUUCUAGGCCCCGGCCCUUGACACACGCGGUGUCCUCCCGGGGAAACCCCGAGUAGGCGCGGUGGAAUCGCGGCUGGUGGUGGGCAUGGGGACCCUGCCCCAUCCACACUCCGCUCCCACCCUGAACCCAGCGCCCCCGGGGACCCCCGACUCACCUAGACUCCCCACCCAACCCGACCCCCCCGCGGGGACCCCUCCAGACACCCCAGCACCCGCCCGGAGCCUUGUCUGCUGCACCUCCCGUCCAGCCCCGGGCCUCCCAGAGGUGGGCGGGAGCUGAGCUUCUCCCCAGCCAGUCACUCCCCACGGCCGGUCCUUCUCCACCCCAGAACCUCCAGAGAUGUCACAGGCCCAGCACUGUGGCUCGUGGCUGACCGCGCCCUGGAGGGUCUCGCUGUGUUUAUCCUUGUGAGGUCCUUCUACAGAGCUUUCAAGGAAGACAGAGUUCAGCCUGUUUAUUGGGAAGACUUUAAUCCUGCUCAAGACAUCUACUGUGUCACCGUACCACUGUGGCCCAGCGCCUGGUGGAGUGAAUCCAGACCCCCAGGGGUGUCCCCUCCCCGCCUUUCUCCUGGUGUCUAGGGGCACCCAGAAACCCUCACCCCAGAUUAGACCAGCUCGUUGGCAACAUCCCUGAGACAGAAGAGAGACACAGAGAGAAGAGGCACAGAGGAGCCGGCCAUGGAGCGAUACAGCAGAAGCUGGAGGCGACGGGAGGAUCCUGGCCCAGAGCCUCGGGAGGGAGUGGGGGCCGUGUUCCAGAAGCCUGAGAGUCCUGCGUGUUGUUCUGAGCCCCUAAGGCUGGGGUAGCUUGUUCCAGCAGUCAUGGGAAACUGACACAUCCCAAACACAGCAGCACGAGAACAUAGGACUGAGACACCAUCCCCAUCACGCCCCAACACACGAAGACUGACGGUGGCGGGUGCUGCACAUCUCAGCCGGAGCUCUGAAGGCAUUUAGCUGAGCGCUGGCCUGCACCUGGAGAGAGUGAGAGACACCAGCCUCCACUGCCAGGAAGGCCCAGGGUCCUCAGGGACCAAGACGCAGGAGACGGCCGCUGCCAGGGUCCUCGGGACUUCUGUGUGGCCUUCGCUACCGGAGCCCUGAGGCGCCAUCCCCAUGUGCCCUUCGGGCUGGUCCAGGAGGAGGCCCUGCGGCGGCCACAGACUGGGGGGACAAAGCCCCAGGAACUCAGAACCUUGUGGGUUUUGGAAGAGGAGCCGCGCAGCAAGGUCCCGACGCCUGCAGGGAGCUGAACGGGGAGCCGCGCGAGGAAGGGAGUGCAGCAGACCCAGUACGCAAAUGCUGACCCUACAAAACGCACCGCGGGUUCUCGAGCCGUGGGGAUCCCGGCGGUGCUCUCCAGAGACCGCAGCUGCAGGAGCUGGGCGGUCCCCGGCAGGUGCCACGAGGGUGCGAUCUCGGCCGAGAACCACCAGGCGUCCACGUCCACGGAGGGACUCAUUCUCCGUGCCCAUCUCACAGGGAGCAAAGGAGGCGGAGGGAGCCCCGGACUCACUGGGUUCUGACCCAGACCCUUCUCUUCUGCAGGGUGGAGUCCUCCUCCCAGAGAAGCCCAGACGUUCGUUUGGGAGACCCAGGGACACUCGGGGCCAUCACCUGCCCCUCACUGGGGCUCCCAGGGGAGACUUCACGCAGUGCCCAGUGUCCUCCCGCUGGGAUCCUCCUGCCCCCGAGGGGCGCCCGUGUCCCCCAGCACCCCAAGGAAGAGAAUGAGCUGUCUUUGGCGGGUGCUGUGCUAUUUUCUGUCCUUAUUUCACCUAGAAUGGCCAUUUCCAGAACUCAAUCCCUGCAAAUGAAUUUCUUCUAACGCCCCUUUUCAGUAUCAAGGAGCAGGAAGCAAUAUCCUUUAAAAACCGAUCGGCCAUACAUUUCUGCUCAUUAAAUAAAUAUUUUUACUUUGGACCCGAUUGAUUUUUCAGACACACGGAACAAUGGGACUGACUCACCUGUGUGCAGCUGGGAGCCUCCUUCCUCCCCGGGGACCUUUGAAGUCACAGUGAGGCGGCCACACCUGGUGCACAGGUGGAGCCCGGCCGAUAGGCACCUGAAUUCUCACCAACUUCACAGGGUGUUCAGAAACGGGCUCGCACUCGGCCGACACGCCCCCUUCCUGGAUCCCUGGGGUGGGAUGCCCAGUGUGGCUGCACCGGAGAAAGGGUGAAAACCAGCGGAGAGAGGGCCGGGAAAGGCUCCCCCACAGGCAUGUCAAGGAGAGAACCUGCAGUUCCACCACACCCUCCAGCCCCCUCCCAGGCAAUCUCCCCACUCCAGCCCCUGACCCCUGACCACCUUGCUCCUUGGUAUCCAGAGCCAGGCCGGAACUCAGGGAGGGCCGCGCCGUUCACUUCUGUAAGGGAGCCUCCGUUCAGUCAGUCAUUCAACAAACAUGAAUCCAGAGCCGCAUGCACUGCUGGUCCCGUCCCAGCUGCUGGUCACGGAGCGGAGAAAGCUUGAAGGCCGUGGUGUCUACUGAGAGGCAGAUGACAAACCAGGAGCACGAGUCACAGCACACACUGGCGCAGCUGCAGGGAGCUGGGCAGAGCCGGGCCUGGCACAUGGGGCAGGAGGCUGUGGCCCUAACGCCAUGGUGGGCGCCACAGACCUUGUCAGAAGGGGUCUGAGCAGAGACAUUGAUUUGGUUUCAUUAUCAUAUAGAACAGAAUAGAAAACUCAGACAUGAAGCUGCACACAUACACCCGUCUGGUCUUUGACAAGACCAACGAAAACAAGCCGCGGGGAAAGGACUCCCUGUCCGAUAGAUGGUGCUGGGAUAAGCAGCUCAGUCACAGGCAGAAGAAGGAAACUGGACUCUUACCCUUCCGCAUAGACGAAAAUCAACUCUAGAUGGAUUAAAGACUCAAAUGCAAGACGUCAAACUAUAAACAUCCUGGAAGACAACGUCUUCUUGACGUUGGCGUUGGCAAAGAACGCUGGCUAAGUCCUCAAAAGCAAUUGCAACAAAAACAAAAAUAGACAAGUGAUACCUAAUUAAACUGAAGAGCUUCUGCACAGCAGAAGAAACUGCCAACGGAGGAAACAGACACCCUACAGAAUGGGAGAAAAUGUCUGCAAACUAUGCAUCUGACAAAGGCCUAAUAUCCAGCAUCUAUAGGACGCUUACACAAAUCAACAAGCAAAAAACAACCCCAUUAAAAAAUGGGCGGCCGGGCGCGGUGGCUCAUGCCUGUAAUCCGAGCACUUCGGGAAGCUGAGGCGGGCGGAUCACAAGGUCAGGAGAUCGAGACCAUCCUGGCUAACACGGUGAAACUCCGUCUCUACUAAAAAAUAUUAAAAAAUUAGCUGGGCGUGGUGGUGGCCGCCUGUAGUCCCAGCUACUCGGGAGGCUGAGGCAGGAGAAUGGCGUGAACCAGGGAGGAGGAGCUUGCAGUGAGCCGAGAUUGCGCCACUGCACUCCAGCGUGGGCUACAGAGUGAAACUCUGUCUCAAAAAAAAAAAAAAAAAGGCAAAGGACAUGAACAGAUACUUCUCAAAACAAGACAUACAAGUGACCAACAAGUAUAAGAAAAAAUUCUCAUUAUCAGAGAAAUGCAAAUCAAAACCACAAUGAGAUGCCAGCUCAGCAGUCAGAAUGGCGAUUAUUACAAAGUCAAAAAAACAACAGAUGCUGGUGAAGCUGAAGAAAAAAGGUGAUGCUCACGCACUGCUGGUGGGAACAUAAAUUAGCCCAGGCCCGUGGAGAGCAGUCUGGAGAUUCCUCAAAGAUCUUAAAACACAGCUACCAUUCAACCUAGCAAUCCCAUUACUGGGUAUAUACCCAAAAGAAAAUAAAGGAUUCUGCCAAAAGGACACAUAUGUUCAUCACAGCGUUAUUCACGAUAGCAAGACAUGGAACAAACCUAGGUGCCCAUCAGUGGUGGACUACAUAAAGAAAACGUGGUACAUAUACACUGUGGAAUACUACGUAGCCAUAAAAAGAAUGGAAUCGUGUCCUUUGCAGCAACAUGGAUGCAGCUGGAGGCCAUUCUCGUAAGCAAAUUAAUGCAGGAGCAAAAAACCAAAUACCGCAUGUUCUUACUUACAAGUGGGAGCUAAACAUUGAGGACACGUGGACAAAAAGAUGGGAACAAAAGUCACUGGGGCCUCCUGGAGGGUUGGGGAUGGAGGAUUAAAGAACUUCCUUCAGGUAUGAUGCUCGCCAUCUGGGUGAUGGCACCCGUCCUCCAAACCUCAGCAUCACACAAUAUUCUCAUGUAACAAAUCUGCACGUGUGCCCCUAAAUCUAAAAUAAAAGUUGAGAUUUUAAAAGUAAAGUAAGAUAAAUGUCAUAUCAGUUAUUCGAUCCGUC